CCCAUUCCCGGCAUCUUCCCUAUGGAAACACCACAGCUGGAGGCAAAACCGGGGUGGCUGCGUGGGGAAAAGCUGCUGCCAUUCCCAGUGUCUUCCUUCGCCGUUCCCGGCGUCUUCCCUACGGAAGCGCCAUGGCCGGAGGCAAAGCCAGGCCAGCUCUCUGUGGGGAAAAGCCGUCGCUUUUCCUGGCGUCUUCCUUCGCCGUUCCCGGCGUUUUCCCUAUGGAAGCGCCGUGGCCGGAGGCAAAAUCGAGGCAGCCACGUGUAGGGAAAAAACAUCGCCGUUCCCGGCGUUGUCCUUUGCCGUUCCUGGUGUCUUCCCUACGGAAAGGCCGUGGCCAGAGGCGAAACGGGUGGCUGCGUGUGGGGGAAAAGCUGUCCCCGUUCCCGGCAUCUUCCUUCCCCGUUCCCGGCAUCUUCCUUCCCCGUUCCCGGCAUCUUCCCCACCGCGGGACGGGUCCGAUUCGCCCCUUCCCUCCCCGUCGCCCUCCGUUCGCUCCCCGGGUGCCGAAUCCCCGGGAUUCGGGCCGCGGCGGCUCUUCCCGCUCCUCUCCCGCCGGCACGGGAUCGUUUCACGCUCCGGCGCGGGGUUUCGCGGCGCCGGGGCGGCCGCGGAGCUGCUCUUUGCCUCCCGCCGCCUCCGUUAAUCCCGGCGCCUCCGUGAUCCCGGCGCAGACCUGUCGCGGAACCGCUUCUCCGAGGUGCCGGAGGAGGCGUGCCGGCUGCCGGCGCUGGAAGCCCUCAGCCUGCGCCACAACUGCCUGCGCAGCGUCCCGCCGGCCAUCGCCCGCCUGCAGGCCCUCACCUACCUCGACCUCAGGUAGGCCCGGCCCUCCCUUCCCGGCCUUCCCGGCCUUCCCGGCGAUGCCGGUGACCCCGGAGCCGCCGCCGUGUCGCCUCCGCAGCCGCAACCAGCUGGCCGCGCUGCCCGCCUGCCUCUGCCGCCUGCCGCUGCGCGUGCUCGUCGCCAGCAACAACCGCCUGCCGCGGCUGCCCGACGCCCUCGGCGCCCUCGGCGGGCUGCGGCUGCUGGACGUGAGCUGCAACG
Molecule: long non-coding RNA, 1047 nt
Filed under: Dromaius novaehollandiae (emu)
Lineage: Eukaryota; Metazoa; Chordata; Aves; Casuariiformes; Dromaiidae
Description: lncRNA (ENSDNVG00000000343.1)
Source: RNAcentral